This 253-nucleotide ribosomal RNA is filed under the name uncultured bacterium. RNAcentral's name for it is "partial 16S ribosomal RNA". It matches the Rfam family "Bacterial small subunit ribosomal RNA", at positions 524 to 776 of the family's 1533-position model. The record is from RNAcentral.
UACGUAGGGUGCAAGCGUUAAUCGGAAUUACUGGGCGUAAAGCGUGCGCAGGCGGUCUUGUAAGACAGAGGUGAAAUCCCCGGGCUCAACCUGGGAACUGCCUUUGUGACUGCAAGGCUGGAGUACGGCAGAGGGGGAUGGAAUUCCGCGUGUAGCAGUGAAAUGCGUAGAUAUGCGGAGGAACACCGAUGGCGAAGGCGGCCCUCUGGUCCAGUACUGACACUCAAGUGCGAAAGCGUGGGGAGCAAACAGG